RNAcentral lists this ribosomal RNA (458 nucleotides) under uncultured bacterium. Its description in RNAcentral is "partial 16S ribosomal RNA". It matches the Rfam family "Bacterial small subunit ribosomal RNA", at positions 338 to 795 of the family's 1533-position model. The record is from RNAcentral.
CCUACGGGUGGCAGCAGUGAGGAAUAUUGGUCAAUGGGCGAGAGCCUGAACCAGCCAAGUCGCGUGAGGGAGUACUGCCCUAUGGGUUGUAAACCUCUUUUGUCGGGGAGCAAAAGCCGGACGUGUCCGGCUGUGAGAGUACCCGAAGAAAAAGCAUCGGCUAACUCCGUGCCAGCAGCCGCGGUAAUACGGAGGAUGCGAGCGUUAUCCGGAUUUAUUGGGUUUAAAGGGUGCGCAGGCGGAUUUUUAAGUCAGCGGUAAAAUCGUGGGGCUCAACCCCAUCCAGCCGUUGAAACUGGGGAUCUAGAGUGUGCGAGAGGUAUGCGGAAUGCGUGGUGUAGCGGUGAAAUGCAUAGAUAUCACGCAGAACCCCGAUUGCGAAGGCAGCAUACCGGUGCAAAACUGACGCUCAGGCACGAAAGCGUGGGUAUCGAACAGGAUUAGAUACCCUUGUAGUC